AUUGAACGCUGGCGGCAUGCUUUACACAUGCAAGUCGAACGGUAACAGGCCGCAAGGUGCUGACGAGUGGCGAACGGGUGAGUAAUGCAUCGGAACGUGCCCAGUCGUGUGGGAUAACUACUCGAAAGAGUAGCUAAUACCGCAUACGAUCUAUGGAUGAAAGCGGGGGACCGUAAGGCCUCGCGCGAUUGGAGCGGCCGAUGUCAGAUUAGGUAGUUGGUGGGGUAAAGGCUCACCAAGCCAACGAUCUGUAGCUGGUCUGAGAGGACGACCAGCCACACUGGAACUGAGACACGGCCCAGACUCCUACGGGAGGCAGCAGUGGGGAAUUUUGGACAAUGGGCGAAAGCCUGAUCCAGCAAUGCCACGUGCAGGAAGAAGGCCUUCGGGUUGUAAACUGCUUUUGUACGGAACGAAACGGCUCUGGUUAAUACCCGGGGAUAAUGACGGUACCGUAAGAAUAAGCACCGGCUAACUACGUG
Molecule: ribosomal RNA, 482 nt
Filed under: uncultured bacterium
Lineage: Bacteria
Description: partial 16S ribosomal RNA
Rfam family: Bacterial small subunit ribosomal RNA
Source: RNAcentral